GAGAACUAAGUGAUCCAGCCUCCCCACGGCCAAUCAAACAUUUUCCCACAAAUAAUGAGAAGUACCGAAGCACAGGAAAAUGUAUGCUAGCAAUUCUAGCGCGAGACACUCCUCUCUCCUCUCCAACAGCAAUAGUACCAAUGAAAUCCUCCAAGUCCCGUGGACGAGGGUCACGAAUAUCCCCAACAUAAGGUAAUUUGCAUACAUUGCAAAAAUCCUGUAGCGUCAUGCAC
RNAcentral lists this long non-coding RNA (233 nucleotides) under Hordeum vulgare. RNAcentral's name for it is "long non-coding RNA (HVUL_LNC004615)". The record is from RNAcentral. Lineage: Eukaryota; Viridiplantae; Streptophyta; Magnoliopsida; Poales; Poaceae.